RNAcentral lists this unclassified non-coding RNA (300 nucleotides) under Hevea brasiliensis (rubber tree). Lineage: Eukaryota; Viridiplantae; Streptophyta; Magnoliopsida; Malpighiales; Euphorbiaceae. The record is from RNAcentral.
GGGAAAAUAGUCUAAAAGAGGCAUAACGUCAUAAUCAGCAAACAGCCUUGAAGUGUCUCAUUAUCGAAUAUGGAUCCAAGUAGGAGGAUCUGCAAAUGCUGGAGGAACUGUAUUUUGUAAUUCUUGCAAUUGGCAUCAGCUAGUUCAAUAUUUAUCCAAUCGGACGACAAUGAUGUGCCACAGCGUUUUUACUAGUAUUAUAAUAUUUGCCAAAUGGAUGGGGUGGCAACAGAAAAUGACAACUAAUUUAUACAAUUGAAUCGACCAUUUGAUAUACUAGACUUUUCAGUGGUCCACCAG